AGAGUUUGAUCAUGGCUCAGGAUGAACGCUGGCGGCGUGCUUAACACAUGCAAGUCAUGGGGGCCCAGCAAUGGGCAACCGGCGAACGGGUGCGUAACACGUGAGCAACCUACCCAGGUGUGGGGGAUAGCCGUCCCAACGGACGGGUAAUACCGCAUACGCUCAACACGAGGCAUUUCGAGUUGAGGAAACCUUCGGGGCACCAUGAGGGGCUCGCGGCCUAUCAGCUAGUUGGUGAGGUAACGGCUCACCAAGGCUACGACGGGUAGCUGGUCUGAGAGGAUGGCCAGCCACAUUGGGACUGAGAAACGGCCCAGACUCCUACGGGAGGCAGCAGUGGGGAAUCUUGCGCAAUGGCCUAACGGCUGACGCAGCGACGCCGCGUGAGGGAUGACGCUCUUCGGAGUGUAAACCUCUUUUGCCUGGAACGAACUAUCAGCUUCAGCUGAUUUGACGGUACCGGGUGAAUAAGCACCGGCUAACUCCGUGCCAGCAGCCGCGGUAAUACGGGGGGUGCGAGCGUUGUCCGGAAUCACUGGGCGUAAAGGGCGCGUAGGUGGCGUGAUAAGGGUGUGGUGAAAGCCCGGGGCUCAACCCCGGGUCGGCCAUGCCGACUGUCAGGCUCGAGUACUGUAGGGGCAGGCGGAAUUCCGGGUGUAGCGGUGGAAUGCGUAGAGAUCCGGAGGAAGGCCGGUGGCGAAGGCGGCCUGCUGGGCAGUUACUGACACUGAGGCGCGACAGCGUGGGGAGCAAACAGGAUUAGAUACCCUGGUAGUCCACGCCAUAAACGAUGACAACUAGAUGUCGGGAGGGUUAGCCUCUUGGUGUCGCAGCUAACGCGUUAAGUUGUCCGCCUGGGGAGUACGGCCGCAAGGUUGAAACUCAAAUGAAUUGACGGGGACCCGCACAAGCGGUGGAGCAUGUGGUUCAAUUCGAUGCAACGCGAAGAACCUUACCUGGCCUUGACAUGUCCGGAAGAUCCCAGAGAUGGGGUUGUGCCCGAAAGGGAACCGGAACACAGGUGCUGCAUGGCUGUCGUCAGCUCGUGUCGUGAGAUGUUGGGUUAAGUCCCGCAACGAGCGCAACCCUUGUCUUUAGUUGCCAGCACUUCGGGUGGGCACUCUAAAGAGACCGCCGGUGACAAACCGGAGGAAGGUGGGGAUGACGUCAAGUCAUCAUGGCCUUUAUGGCCAGGGCUACACACGUGCUACAAUGGCCGGUACAAAGGGUUGCCAACCCGCAAGGGGGAGCUAAUCCCAUAAAGCCGGUCGUAGUCCGGAUCGGAGUCUGCAACUCGACUCCGUGAAGUUGGAAUCGCUAGUAAUCGCAAAUCAGCACUGUUGCGGUGAAUACGUUCCCGGGUCUUGUACACACCGCCCGUCACACCAUGGGAGUUGAUUGCACCAGAAGCAGGUAGCCUGACCGCAAGGAGGGCGCCUACCACGGUGUGGUCAAUGACUGGGGUGAAGUCGUAACAAGGUAACCGU
RNAcentral lists this ribosomal RNA (1487 nucleotides) under uncultured bacterium. RNAcentral's name for it is "bacterial SSU rRNA". It matches the Rfam family "Bacterial small subunit ribosomal RNA". The record is from RNAcentral.